RNAcentral lists this long non-coding RNA (205 nucleotides) under Elaeis guineensis (African oil palm). RNAcentral's name for it is "long non-coding RNA (EGUI_LNC041955)". Lineage: Eukaryota; Viridiplantae; Streptophyta; Magnoliopsida; Arecales; Arecaceae. The record is from RNAcentral.
CUGAUCAAUCUCCUUGGGAGUGCUAAUCGUGAAGAUUUUUGAUAGUUGAUUUAACUUCUUCUUCAAAUCUCUUAGAUACUCUAGAGAGGGAGAAGAACCAAGGAAGGAGGUGAGGCUAGAGAAAACUAUUUUCUCUUUUUUUGAAGUCACUCUUAUGGGGCGUCCAAUUAUUGGACUUCUUUUAUAGGUAGGCUAGGGAUUAGGG